RNAcentral lists this long non-coding RNA (667 nucleotides) under Zonotrichia albicollis (white-throated sparrow). Its description in RNAcentral is "lncRNA (ENSZALG00000004064.1)". Lineage: Eukaryota; Metazoa; Chordata; Aves; Passeriformes; Passerellidae. The record is from RNAcentral.
GUCUCUGAUGGCAAACUGCAAACCUCCCUGGCUCUUGACAGCAUCAACCCGACACGGUUCCCCCAAAGCCUUGAUGCUGCCAGUGCCUCCUCGCUGACAGAAUGGCUCAAGAAGGUCCUCACAGCUGUUUAUGUACCUUCUGUUCAAGGUAUGGGGGUCAGGAUCCCCUCUCAUCUCAGAUCCAGUUGGAUUUGAGGCUCUCCCCCUCCCUUUGGUGCCUUCAUUCUGGGUUUCAUCCCUGUGAUGAGAUUCCUACACCUGUUUUUGCAGAUGCCCUCCGUGUGUCGGUUCCACUGCCCAACGUCCUGAACACCAACCUCAGGAACGCUGCAGUUGCCAUCACUGAUGAGGAUGAGUUUUCUGGCCAGAGCACUCUGGGAAGAUCCUGCUCGGGGGGAACCUCGUUGCUGCUCCCUUUCUGAGGCAGCACAUGCACCCCAAGCCCUGCUCUGCUCCACUCUCUCCCUCUUCCUUUCUCUCCAGUGCUGCUCUGUGCUGUGGCUGUGGCCUGAGCAGGACAGGCAGCAGCCUCUGGCUUGGCUGGUGGAUGUUUGGGGGUUCCUGUGGCCCCUUUUAACAUCCACAGCCAGAAGGCAGACAACUCUUAGGCACAUAGGCUGCUCUCGUAUUGCUCUUUCAAUAAAAUCUCUCCCUGUCACAGUAUUUU